CAGUUUGGCGCGUAUCAAGCAGGAUGGACAAGAUGCAGCUAGCGAUUAUUAGACUGGGCGUGUGAUGGAGACGCGGGUAUCCUUACGCUGUCGGGCAUUGUCUACUGCGCAAAGGAUCAGCAAGGUUGUGAGGUUGAUUUUUAUUAUUUUUAUUAAUAUUAUUUGUAUGUAUUUUGUAAUAAUAUAAUGUACAUAAAACUAUAGUCAUACGUUAUUGGUACUGUGUUAAUAUUAAUUUUAAAAAUAUUUUUUUACUAUAUACCUAUUUCUGUUUAAUUUAAAUAACUAUAAGAUUAUAUUGUAAAUUCAAUUGAGGUGUUAAUAAUAUUUUAAAGGUUGUUAAGCUUUUGUUAUGUAGUAUAAAAAUAACCAUUAUUACUAUUAAAUGUAUAUAAUGUUAGAAUAUUUAUAAUGAAGAACGAGUGUUGGUGCCUCCGGCAUCAAUAUUAGUGCCCUACAUCUA
Molecule: long non-coding RNA, 463 nt
Organism: Melitaea cinxia (Glanville fritillary)
Lineage: Eukaryota; Metazoa; Arthropoda; Insecta; Lepidoptera; Nymphalidae
Exons: 3
Source: RefSeq, a predicted model, not a curated record